This 1628-nucleotide non-coding RNA is filed under the name Betula luminifera. Lineage: Eukaryota; Viridiplantae; Streptophyta; Magnoliopsida; Fagales; Betulaceae. The record is from RNAcentral.
UAAAAGAAAGAAACAACUUACUGAAAAAAAAUAGUGUAUAAUUAAUAAAUUAAAAGUUAAAAAUAUUUAAAAAGUAUCCCUAGUUCAUUGUUUGUGGUGUCCCACACCAAUGAAUCAAGAGCUGUAUUUCCGUCACCAUCUUCUUUCGGUUUUGACCCUUUUCUAAUAACAUAUUGUCUUCUCUAACGCGCGUCCCAUGUUUUAAUUUAAUUAUGAGUCCUGAUUAGCAUCAGUCCAAGUUGAUGCUACAGUGCAUCAGUCUGGUCUAAUAUGGGUUCUAUAUAAAAAAAAAAAAAAAAAAAAAAUUUAUAUGGGGCCCACAUCAGACCCAUGCUGAUGCACUGUAGCAUCAGCCUGAGCUGAUGUUUACAAUUACCGUUUAAUUAUUCCUCAGGUCCAUUACAGUGCAAUGCACUUUUUUUUUUUUUUGGUAAAACAACAAAACUGAGAAAUUAAUAAAUGCCUAAACAAAUGACUAAAUUAAUUCCCUGAAAUUUUCUAAUUUGAUGCAAGUGAUCAUCCUUCAGUCCAAUUCAAGAAAAGGAAUAACAUGCAUGUCUUCUCGUUUAAGAAAUUUCCCGGAAGGAGAAAAAUAAUUAUACGACCUCUUCUUCACAAGUUUUUUUCUUUUACUUUAUUUGAACUUUUCAAGUAAAUUCAAUUUCUUUGAAAUAAAUAAUAUUUUUAUACAAACUUCAUAAUUUUUUUUUUCCGGAUAUUUAAUUAUUUUUUAGAGUAUGAUAAAUAAUAUAUGUAGACUAUAGGCGACACGGAAGGUGCUGAUUGUUGUUCUUCUUGUCUGUUGUUGCUUGUAAAAACGAAGUUGAAUUCUGCUUUCUUGCUGUUUUCUCUUCUCGUUUCCUACAAGAAAUCUCCAAAUCUGUACCUUCCUAUUUUAAUUUGGUUCUUUUAUUUUUUUUUGUCUCCAAAUCUCCAAAUCUGUACCUUCAUAUUCACUAGAAGUUACAGCAAAAUCCUGAUUAACAAAAAUAAAUAACUAAAUAUAAAAAUAACAAACAAAAAAAAUCACUUUUUUUUUUUUCUAUUCCAGAUGGGGAAAGGGGGAAACCAAAAAAAAAAAAAAAUUCCCUUAACUUAUAUAUAUAUUUUAAUUUUUGUCUUUUUUUUUAAGGGAUUAGAGUAAAUUUCCUUCGACCUGAAUAGGAGGAAAUUUGUAUCCUUAAUUAAAUGGGUCUUUGUAUAGAUUUGAGGCAUGUUAACAACACUGGAUAAUAUUUGAUUAAAACAAAAAAAAAAAAGUGACAAAUACAAAUAUACAGGUGAGAGUGAGACAUUCUUGCAAAAGGCCAUUCAAGAGCAAGGCAGGGGUAGAGUUUUGGAGACGAUACAUGAGAUUCAAGAGAGCCACGAUGCGGUGAAGGAGAUGGAGAAGAAUCUAAAAGAGCUACACCAGGUGUUCCUCGACAUGGCCGUCUUGGUCCAGGCCCAAGGCGAGCGAUUGGACGACAUUGACCUCCACGUGGAGAGAGCUAAUUCGUUCGUGAACGACGGAACCCAGCAGUUGCAGGCUGCCAGGGCAUACCAGAAGAACUCCCGGAAAUGGCUGUGUUUUGCUACCAUAAUUUUGCUGGUGAUCGCAUUGCUUGUGGUGCUUUUUAUGGUCAAGC